UAGGGAUAAUUAACAGUACCUCCAACUUUGUUGGCGCUAUCGCGGGCAGCGAAGGCAAGAACGUCGGCACAUGACACAGUGUUGGGACAAACAGCUUCAAUUUUCGCCUUGGCUUCAUCAAUAACCUCAAAACCUCGUAAGGUUGGAAAGUUUGCAACAUGAUAUUUCUCAGAUGGAUUUCCAGGAGUCGAUUCUAGAAGCACAGAAGCAUCACAUCCCUGAAAAAUUACGAAACAAAAGAGAGACAUAGAAGUCAAUUUUUUAUUUUCCUAAAUAAUAUUUGGGUGGGCUCAAAAAGUACAAAGAUGGAUAUCUAAAUUCAAGUUUUUUUUUUUUUUUUUUUUGACAAAUAACGCAUCUGUGUCAUAUUAAAAGUGAGGUUAAAUUACAAAAAUUUGGUCCUUACCGAACGAAUUUUUCAUGUAAUUAUGAAAGUUAAUAUUCAUUUUUGUCAAAUAGUAUCAUUAUAAUUUAUAAGGUUUUAUUAAACGGAAAAACUUUGAAUGAAACGUACCCUAACAAAACAGUCGUGGAAGUGCAUUCUAAUGAGACCUGCAGCAAUGCCGGGGUUUCUAGAGACGGCUUUGUCUACUGCAUCUUCAACAAUGGUCUCAGCAUCCGGACAAGAUGAACUAUAGAAACCUACUCUGAGGCUUGUAGAAGCAAAAGUAGAUAGGGAAAAGAAGAAGAAGAUGCAUAGGAGCUUGGAGAAAAGUGCUUGGAAUAACUUAUGGGACGAAGAAGAAUUAGCCAUUGUAAAGAAGAGCCAAAUAAGAAGGAUGUUUUUAGGCAAUGAUGUUAUUGAUUUGUUUGGUAAUUUUGAUGAAGAAAUUAGGUGUGUUUAUGAUGCAUAUUUAUAGCAUGAGGAUAUGUUGUGUUGAAAAAUGAUGAUGAAAUCAAAAAGGUGGCUAAAGUUACAUGAAGUUGUCUAAGUUUGAAAUUUUAUAUAUUAUUUGUCAUCUACGUAUUUAAAAAUAAUUAUAAAAAUAUAUAAUAAAUGGAAGGGGGAAUUUAUAUAUAGAGAGAGAAUUAUUGACUUAUAAGGAAAAACAAAACCCUAGUGGGGAAUUUUAAAAUAAGUUUACUUAGCAAAAAAUGGAUUGCUUGAGGCUGCUUUGAACCAAGAAUUAGAGUACAUUGUAUAUAGAGACAUUAAUAAUAUAUAUUUGCAUGACCAAAUAUAUGUAAAAUAACAUCUCCUUUCGUAUCUCUUUCCUAACAGAGAUUAUUAAUUAAUAUGACUCACGCUUAAUUAGAAUAUAAGUAGAUGUAUAAGAGAAUGAUAGAAGAAUAUUAAAAUAUACAAACAAAUUUUCAAUAUUUUGUUAUUAAGGGAAAGAUUACAUGUUUUAACCACAAAAUUUCAAUCCCAUACCAAAUUCAUCUUCGGAACUAAACCAGUAGAUUGGUUAUUAUUAUUGUGUAGGGUUAGUUUUCAAAUAUAAAAACUUGAAUAAAAUUAGUUACAAAAUAUAGUAAAAUUUCAUAUUCUAUUAAUGAUUGACACGAUAAACUUCCUAUAAUUGGUGUCUAAUUUUUCCAUUUGAAAUAGUCUUUUAAUUGUUUUUUAUGUUUUUUUCUAUAAAAAAAAUUAUUCAUUUUGAAAUAGUCUAAUGUUGAAAUUUGGUUAGUUAAAAAACGUGGGAAAAGAGAUUAUUAAUGCAUAUUAAUAAAAUAAUGUGUAUUACAAAGUUUCAACAACCAAAGUAAUAAAUUAGAAGAUCCAUCGCUAACACACAAUCGCUCAUCUACCAGCCACGAUCGUUCAUAGCUCACCAACAUGUAGCAGCCACGAAAUCUAUAUCAGAGAAGCAGGAAACAAAGCAGUCCAUCAAUUCUGCUGAUUAAUCAAGAAAUCAAAUCCCUUGAAUCAAGAAGAUUUGAGUUACCCAUCACCAAAAAAUCUUCCUCAUUAUUUUCCUUUCGUUAUGUAUGUAUCUACUGGAAGAGAGUGGUACUUAUAUACAACUUAACAUUUGUGAGUCUUGUUUUUGCUGUCAUGUUCUUAUGAAUUCACUGUAUAAUAAAAUAUAUAACAAAACUUAUAAGUAAUAGACAUGUAUUACUGGUAGACUCUUAUGAUCUAUUAGUGAUAGAUCAAUUAUAUUUGCAACAUGGUCUAUCAACGAUAGAACUCAUGUUAAUCUAAUAUAGUUUAUAAGCUGAUGAAGUCUAAAAAGAUGAAAAUUGGAAUGUAUGAUUCAAGAAUGGUGAAAUGAAAUAAGUGCAUCUUAAACAACAUCUUAAAGAUCCACGUCAGAAAAAUCGAAUGACCUAAAUUAUUUUUUUAUUUUAGAGUAUAUGAACUCGACCUUUUUUUCGAGUCAACAAAUACAUUGGCUCUAAACAAAAUUUGAUAACUAUAGUGGAGAAGCUCGAGUGAGCCAACGUAUCUCUUUCUAGAAAAAAAAAACAAAAUUUGAUGAAGCCAACCCUACCAUAAUAAUGAUAUUUUGAUAUGAAUCCAACUCAAGCACUAAUACCCCUUGAAAGUAAAAGAUUUCAUUUCAUGGAAUACUCAGAAAAUAAAGAUCUUACACACUCCACCAAGAAUAUCCCUCUCAAUUGUGGUCGUUGCUGGAUUUGGAUAUGAUUUUUUCACUAUUCAAUUAAUUUAAGAAAUUUACAAUCAAACAUAAACGAAAAAAUAAACAUAAACAAUAAAGAAUUAUCAAAUGAUUAUAAUUUGCAUGAAUCACGUAAUACUGUAUUGACUGUAUUUAUACGUUUACUUAGUAGAAUAUCAAAUUGUAAAUUCAAAUGUAUUUUAGAUAAUUGAUAGAGUAGACUUGAUAGUGCUACAGAGGUGUUCACUUAGUGAAGAUGACCUACUACAUUUACUGAUUCAUUCGUACCUUUCUUUUUUUAAAAAAAUUGAUAGAGUAGACUAACAUUUAACCUUAAGCCGAAAUCAUAUAUAACGCAAAUAUAAGAACACAACUUUAAGUUAAAUUAAAGUUUAAGACAUGUUGUAAAACUUUACGAGAACAAAUAGAGAACAAAUAUUGAAGGCAUCAUGUAUUCAAAUAAAUUAAAAUAUCAUUCAUUAGAAAAGGAAUUACAAAGAGCUUCAUAUAUGACAACAAAAAAAUUCCAACAAUGCAUAAAUAAAGAGAGAAAGUAUACACACUUAUUGUCUUAAACGAUGAAAAGAAAUCAACAAAUUUGCACAAAACAAUAACAUUUUAACAUAUAUAAAACACACACACCAAAGUUCUUCUUUCCUUGCAGAUUAAACAUGUGAUCACCAAAGAAAGCUUCGAAAUCAAUUCACAAAGCUGCAUUGGCGUCUGAUCUCUCCCUUGGAUCCUGUAAGGACAUCAAUUUUGCCCAUUUUAACCAUUGCCUUCCCAAACUUGGUUGCCCAUUUGGACCCAUAAUGGGCAUUUCUCAACACCAUUUUUGAAGUCAAUGAACUGCUCAACAAUGUCUGAUCGGAGAUCAGCAGCCCACGGUGGUUCUUUAGCUCGAUGUAGUAACGGUUAUCCAAACGAUGCGGGGUUGAAAAAUCAAGAUCCACGUCUGGCUGCUGACUCCCGUCAUCACCAGAGCUACUUGGCUGUGGGCAUUUGCUCUUCAAGUAAUCAGCAUAUGAGGGGUCCAAGGAAGGGUCUUGUGCAUGAGUUGUAUUGAAGGAAUAUAGCCUGCCAACAAAGGUAGGGCAAUGAGCUAUUCCUAUGGAAUGGGCACCGGAAAGAGUCACCAUCUCCUCCACUGACAACCCUCGUUUUCCGAACUCACUAGCCAGCCUCUCGGCAUGGAAAGUAAAACCAGGGAGAGCGUUAGCAUCUUCCUUUCUCGAGAUGAAUCCAUCACGACGGCCUGCUGGUACGGCAUAGUUAAUACCUGGUACAAAUAUGAGUAGAGAAGAUUUAAAUGUAUUGUAAUGUAUCAAAUUUUCAAAAAAAACUAUUGUAAUAUAUCAAAGUUUAAGCUUUUGAAUUUAAUCAGUUAGGGAUAAUUAACCGUACCUCCAACUUUGUUGGCGCUAUCGCGGGCAGCGAAAGCAAGAACGUCGGCGCAUGACACAGUGUUAGGACAAACAGCUUCAAUUUUCGCCUUGGCUUCAUCAAUAACCUCAAAACCUCGUAAGGUUGGAAAGUUUGCAACAUGAUAUUUCUCAGAUGGAUUUCCAGGAGUCGAUUCUAGAAGCACAGAAGCAUCACAUCCCUGAAAAAUU
This 4180-nucleotide long non-coding RNA is filed under the name Cucumis sativus (cucumber). Its description in RNAcentral is "long non-coding RNA (CSAT_LNC002893)". Lineage: Eukaryota; Viridiplantae; Streptophyta; Magnoliopsida; Cucurbitales; Cucurbitaceae. The record is from RNAcentral.